UGCUCAUUGGUCAACGUUGGCUCCAGACCAUGUGUAAGUGUAAGUGCAUGUUCCGCAGCGUCCAUUUCGAAACACUUUCGACCCAGUGUUUGGCUUUUUCUCUUCUCUCUCUGCCUCGUCCUCGACUCCAUUUGUCCGUGUUCGCUAUGGGAAAAAAACCUGACUCGAGAAGGAUCUGUUCAGUUAUCUCGAUGGGAUGAGAUUCCAAAGAGAUGCAGCUCUCCGGCACGGGCCCGUGACUUCCAGGCUCCUCAGUCGCUGGACAGCCGGGAGCAAGGAUGUCUCAGUGCCAUUCCGAAGAAUAGAGAACUAACAUGAUCUACCGAGGAACAUAGUUGACUGCAGCAUUGCCAACGGUAGCUUCAGAGCCAGGUCACCAGGUUCGGGAAUUCCACAGGCAGGGUGCUCCAGUUGUUUGUUGAAAACAUUUUAAAAGAUCGACCGAGUAUUGCCGACUUUAGGAACAAAGAGGUUAAUGAAACUGCUGGAACGGAGAGUGCGACUGGCUUCCAUAUAUGGGCCUGAAACCAUCCAUCCAUUUUCAUAGAUUUACCUUUGGACCGGGGGGCAAAGCGAGAGAGAAGUCACGCAGGGCAACAUGCAAAUUCCCAACAGAAAGGCCAAAAAUCUUCUUCAUGUGAGAUGGGAGUUCAGGAGCAGAGAGCGCCAUCAGAGGCUUGGGUCAGCCUUGCAAAGUGAAAGAGAGACAUCUAAUGGUCAUAACAUGAACUGCAAGGUGAUUGCGCCACAGCGGGGCCAGCUAGAACACAGAAGGGAGCUUCUCUGCAGUAAUAUUGGGGAACCAGGCAGUCAGCAGCAGAGCAGUAGAGCUCCAUUUCCCCGCCACAGGCCACAGAAUCAUCUUCUCCUCGCUCCUCCCACUGCUCCUCACCCCCCCACCUCACGAGUCACGUGUGAGCUAGACCUAUCCCAGCUGACUUAAGGUGAAAAGCAGGAGACACCCUGGAUUGGUCGCUGGCAAUCACAGGGCACUAAUACAUAGAGACAGACAACCGUUCGUUGUCACAUUCCCACCGUCACUGAGAAGGAAGUGAACCCACGCUGCUUGCACCGAAUUGAGAUACCCGCGCUUGACAGUGAAGCUGCUGACUUCAAGUGCCACAAGAUGAAAGAUUAAACUGGGCUUUUUUGGUUUGUUUGUUUUAGCCAGUUCAUACCAAGCCAGUGGUCACCCCUCCCUCCUCCACCUGCUCCCCAUCGCCCACCACUGACCUUGGCUGCAUGUGCGUACGUAAGCAUGCAUGCACGACUGUGUGCUUGCAUCAUUCCCAACCCAGUGGGCUUAUUAAUUUUGAUUGAUGACUCCAUUUAUCUUUGGAAUAACAAUUAUCUAAUACCCCACACCGCCAUACAGCCAUCACAGCCCAGUAUGAAAGUGAUAUUACAAACAAAAUGAGAAUUUUGGGGUUUGACAAGGAGCUUGAUGAAAUGGUUUUAUAGUUGGUCUUGAUGCAUGGAAAUGUUAUGCUAAUGAUACCACGAGCCAAGCAGUUUAGCUGGAAAUUAAUCAGGAGACUAG
Long non-coding RNA from Phyllopteryx taeniolatus (common seadragon), 1540 nucleotides. RefSeq lists it as uncharacterized. Lineage: Eukaryota; Metazoa; Chordata; Actinopteri; Syngnathiformes; Syngnathidae. The transcript is spliced from 8 exons. The record is from RefSeq and is a predicted model, not a curated record.